This 262-nucleotide long non-coding RNA is filed under the name Lathyrus oleraceus (garden pea). RNAcentral describes it as "Pisum sativum (pea) long non-coding RNA (PSAT_LNC007362)". Lineage: Eukaryota; Viridiplantae; Streptophyta; Magnoliopsida; Fabales; Fabaceae. The record is from RNAcentral.
GUUUCCUGUGUUUGUUUGUGUGCUUGGAGUUUGAUGUAUGUCCAGCGAUUGGCAUUCGGUUUCCUUGUUUGUGUUUGUUGCUUGGAGUCGGACGUAAGACCAGCCAUUGGCAGUCUGUUUCCAUUUGUGUGUUUGUUUUGACGUCUCAGCGUCUGUGCGUGUGUUUUGUUUCGGCGUGCAUGAGCCGAACUACGGUAGCUCUGAUUCUCAUUCCAGAUGAGAUACGUAGGCAUAGGAUGCGAUAUCCUAGCGAGCCCGUUUC